AGAUUUGAACAUCGGUAAAGUACUGUUAUAGUAAUUUAGCCUCUGAAGUGUCUAGUCCAAUGCAGGAGAUAAUAAAAUAUAUUCAUUAAAAUAAAGUGUUUUGUUUUUGUGGUUCUUCUCUCUUAUUUCAGUAUUACUAAGGCUCAUACUGUUUCUCACAGUUCAGACUAAUACAAGCAGUGAAUGGAAUCUUGUCUUCAAAAUAGCGACUGGAGGUUCUGGUGGCAUUUAUGAUUUAUACACCAAUAGCCAGACAGAAAAUAGUGAUGAUCCCGAAGCACGUUUGUUUACUUCAACUUCUAAACACUUUAAAUCGGACAUUAUGAACAAAUGGAGUUCUGUUGGAAUUGAACAAGUAAUUAUUUAUUCAAGUGUUUAAAACAUUGAAUUUAGAUACAAUUUCAGUUUUGUGAUUGGAAUUUUUUGGACAUUUUGUACAUUCACGUAUUAUAGAAUAUAUUAAAUUGACUCUUUAAUGAAUA
This is a long non-coding RNA of Mytilus californianus (California mussel), 482 nucleotides long. RefSeq lists it as uncharacterized. The transcript is spliced from 2 exons. The record is from RefSeq and is a predicted model, not a curated record. Lineage: Eukaryota; Metazoa; Mollusca; Bivalvia; Mytilida; Mytilidae.